Non-coding RNA from Hordeum vulgare subsp. vulgare (domesticated barley), 116 nucleotides. NCBI's taxonomy places the organism in Eukaryota, Viridiplantae, Streptophyta, Magnoliopsida, Poales, Poaceae. The record is from Rfam.
AAUGUACUACCUCCGUCCCAAAAUAAGUGACUCAAAAGUGACUUAACUUUGUACUAAAGUUAGUAUAAAACCGAGUCAUUUUUGAGUCACUUAUUUUGGGACGGAGGGAGUAGUAG